AGAAGCCUUAGGUCUAAACCUGAGGUUGAAGCCGGGCAUGGCUGAGAGGGUUUUCAUCCAGGAUCGAGCAGGGAGGAUAGCUGGGGAGACACCUGAGCUGACCUUGGAGCAGCCGCCCCAGGAUGCAUCCACCAAGAAGCUGAGCGAGUGUCUCCGGCGAAUGGAGAUGAACUGGACAGCAAUAUGAAGCUGCAGAGGAUGAUUGCUGACGUGGACAUGGACUACCCCCGAGAGGUCUUCUUCCGGGUGGCAGCUGACAUGUUUGCUGAUGACAACUUCAACUGGGACCGAGUGGUUGCCCUUUUCUACUUUGCUAGCAAACUGGUGCUCAAGGCCCUGUGCACUAAAGUGCCCGAGCUGAUCAGAACCAUCAUGGGCUGGACACUGGACUUCCUCCGUGAGCGGCUGCUUGUCUGGAUCCAAGACCAGGGUGGCUGGGAAGGCCUCCUCUCCUACUUCGGGAGACCCACAUGGCAGACAGUGACCAUCUUUGUGGCUGGAGUCCUCACCGCCUCGCUCACCACCUGGAAGAAGAUGGGCUGAGGCCUCCCACUGCCUUGGACUGUGUCUUUUCUUCAUAAAUUAUGACAUUUUCCUGGGAUGAAUGGGGGAAGGGGAAAGGCAUUUUUCUUACUUUUGUAAUUAUUGGGACGGGUGGGAAUGGUGGCCUGGGGAGGCACCAAUA
Molecule: non-coding RNA, 685 nt
Organism: Mus caroli (Ryukyu mouse)
Lineage: Eukaryota; Metazoa; Chordata; Mammalia; Rodentia; Muridae
Source: RefSeq, a predicted model, not a curated record